Sebastes umbrosus (honeycomb rockfish) is the source of this 256-nucleotide long non-coding RNA. RefSeq lists it as uncharacterized. NCBI's taxonomy places the organism in Eukaryota, Metazoa, Chordata, Actinopteri, Perciformes, Sebastidae. The record is from RefSeq and is a predicted model, not a curated record. The transcript is spliced from 3 exons.
CUCAGUAACAUUUAAACAAUAACUUAAUAUAACUGUUGAAUUCAUGAAUAUUAGAUGCUGAGAGUCAAAGCUAACGUAGCAGACCAUGCUAGCUGAUAUUUAUCUGCAACAUAAGCAAAAAUGUAAUAUACAUAAAAUGAUGGUGAAGUCUUUAGACAUUAGAAUUACAAUAUCUGUCAUAAACAACAACAUAUGUUAUAUUGUUUUGUGUAUGAAGACAUCUCCGGUUACUGGCUACAUUCUUCAGGGUGUAGAA